This 390-nucleotide ribosomal RNA is filed under the name uncultured bacterium. Its description in RNAcentral is "bacterial SSU rRNA". It matches the Rfam family "Bacterial small subunit ribosomal RNA", at positions 28 to 422 of the family's 1533-position model. The record is from RNAcentral.
GAUGAACGCUAGCGGCAGGCCUAACACAUGCAAGUCGAGGGAGAAGCCCUUCGGGGCAGAAACCGGCGCACGGGUGCGUAACGCGUAUGCAACCUACCUUUCACAGGGGGAUAGCCCGAAGAAAUUUGGAUUAAUACCCCAUAAUAUUAUUGGAUGGCAUCAUUUGAUAAUUAAAAUUACGAUGGUGAAAGAUGGGCAUGCGUCCUAUUAGCUAGUUGGAGUGGUAACGGCACCCCAAGGCUACGAUAGGUAGGGGUCCUGAGAGGGAGAUCCCCCACACUGGUACUGAGACAGGGACCAGACUCCUACGAGAGGCAGCAGUGAGGAAUAUUGGUCAAUGGUCGGAAGACUGAACCAGCCAUGCCGCGUGCAGGAAGAAUGCCUUANGGG